This 261-nucleotide unclassified non-coding RNA is filed under the name Niesslia sp. Its description in RNAcentral is "partial contains 5.8S ribosomal RNA, internal transcribed spacer 2, and large subunit ribosomal RNA". Lineage: Eukaryota; Fungi; Ascomycota; Sordariomycetes; Hypocreales; Niessliaceae. The record is from RNAcentral.
CGCACAUUGCGCCCGCCAGUAUUCUGGCGGGCAUGCCUGUCUGAGCGUCAUUUCACCACUCGCAACCGGCUUUGCUGGAUGCGGCGUUGGGGAUCGGCUCCCGCAAGGGUGCCGGCCCCGAAAUGGAGUGGCGGUCUCGCUGCGACCUCCUCUGCGUAGUACUUUAUUCUCGCAGGCGGAUAGCAACGUGGCCACGCCGUAAAACACCCAACCUUUCUUAUGGUUGACCUCAGAUCAGGUAGGAAUACCCGCUGAACUUAA